GCGGGCGGGGCGCGGAGCUGGUUGCCGGGGCGGCGGAUGGCGGCGGCUCCUCGAUGGCGGCGGGGCUGAGCGCGGAUCCUGCACCGGCGGCCGGGACGCGGGGACUCCCCCUUCGGUGCGGGGAGGCCCAGUCCUCGGGAAAAAGGGGGAGAGAGAGAGAGGCUGAUACUGAAGCCAACCAGCUGCACGUCUGAGUGGGAAACUCCGGACUGAUCUCAUGGCUUGCUUUUUAUUUCGUUAAUACUUCACUAUCUCUGAAAAUGAAUCUUUUGUGAAGCUCUUCUCCUAACUCCCCUUAUUCCUCUUUCACGAGGUGGCUGCUGCGGUGCAAGGGAAGGAAUGGCAUGAAGUAAAUGACUCCAGUACAAAGCAAUCUGCUUUGCCCAAAUGCCCAGUGGGCAGCACUGUCACUUUAAUAAUUCCAGGUCAAGGGAUUGCUUUCCUCGUUUUCAAUCCUCUCUUUUAAUACAUGGGAGGAUCAGAGGGACAUUAAAGACCGUAAGGCUGGGUGGCUUGCUGAUAAUAAAAAUGAAAGUGUCUGCCCAGUGACUUCUGUUGGAGCAUCACAAGUCCAACCCAAGGGAACAGCAAGUAUUCACAGAAAUGAAGAUUGAAGCUGCAUUUCCUUACUGAACUGUAAAAGUGUUCUGCAAUAGAUAGUCAGUUCCUGACCUUGCAGAGUGUUCCAGUAGUACUUCGUUAGUACCUGUAAAUAAGUGCUUGCCACCAGAUUCAGAAGUAGGAAGAAGAAUGCCAGUCAAGAAGAAAGAUACUGACCGAGCUUUAGUACUGCUGGAAGAAUAUUGCAAAAAACUGCGGAAGCCAGAAGAGCAACAACUGAAAAAAGCCAUCAGAAAGGUGAUGGGCAUCUUUAAGAGCAGCUUGUUUCAGGCACUCCUAGAACUGGAUACAGAGGUGUGCAUUCUUACGAGGAAUGAGGUGAACAUAAAAUUAUGUGCCAACUCUCACAACUUCAGUGGAAUUUGGUUCCUUUAGAAAUAAAUUUAUCCAUUGUAACCA
RNAcentral lists this long non-coding RNA (1020 nucleotides) under Lonchura striata (white-rumped munia). RNAcentral's name for it is "domestica (Bengalese finch) lncRNA (ENSLSDG00000008704.1)". Lineage: Eukaryota; Metazoa; Chordata; Aves; Passeriformes; Estrildidae. The record is from RNAcentral.